RNAcentral lists this ribosomal RNA (621 nucleotides) under uncultured bacterium. RNAcentral describes it as "bacterial SSU rRNA". It matches the Rfam family "Bacterial small subunit ribosomal RNA", at positions 338 to 957 of the family's 1533-position model. The record is from RNAcentral.
CCUACGGGAGGCAGCAGUGGGGAAUUUUGGACAAUGGGCGCAAGCCUGAUCCAGCCAUGCCGCGUGUGGGAAGAAGGCCUUCGGGUUGUAAACCACUUUUGUCAGGGAAGAAACGGCUUUUUCUAAUACAGAGAGCUAAUGACGGUACCUGAAGAAUAAGCACCGGCUAACUACGUGCCAGCAGCCGCGGUAAUACGUAGGGUGCAAGCGUUAAUCGGAAUUACUGGGCGUAAAGCGUGCGCAGGCGGCUUUGCAAGACAGAUGUGAAAUCCCCGGGCUCAACCUGGGAACUGCAUUUGUGACUGCAUGGCUAGAGUACGGUAGAGGGGGAUGGAAUUCCGCGUGUAGCAGUGAAAUGCGUAGAUAUGCGGAGGAACACCGAUGGCGAAGGCAAUCCCCUGGACCUGUACUGACGCUCAUGCACGAAAGCGUGGGGAGCAAACAGGAUUAGAUACCCUGGUAGUCCACGCCCUAAACGAUGUCAACUGGUUGUUGGACGGCUUGCUGUUCAGUACGAAGCUAACGCGUGAAGUUGACCGCCUGGGGAGUACGGCCGCAAGGUUGAAACUCGAAAGUGAGUUGGACGNGUGAGAGNGACCGAGGCACGACGGAGGGAGAGGG